UUUGAACAAUUUCUCUUAUUUCACAUACUCUCUCUGUCUCUCUCUCUAAACCUGCUUCCGCUGAUCGCUUUCUCGUCUUUUCUCGCCGAUUUUCCUUCCCGCCAAACACUGUCUUCCGCCGCUUCGCCGAUCCUCGAUUCCUCCUCCUUCUCAUUCCUAUCCGGUUGUCUAGUACAAUUGCUUGGUAAGCUUUUGUGUUAGUAGAUGCCAAUUGCAAAACUCAGAGCCUCUGGCACUCCAGAUGUUAUGAAAACAGAAGACAGAAUAGAUACCAUAAUCAGACAGGCAAUUGGAAAAGAACCUUUUGUUUCUUUUCCAAGGGCCAGUGACAGCCCUGUACAGUGGAUUCAAUUACUCCAUGCUUUAGAUCCACAAGGUGUUAGCAAUUCUUUUUCAGAAUUUCCAGGGUGGCCUUUGCUCUCUCCUCUGAAGGUUCAGUUGCAGAAGUGUGACAAAUGUACCCGAGAGUUUUGCUCCCCCAUUAACUAUAGAAGACAUAUACGUGUACAUCAUCGGUUAAAAAAGAUUGAUAAGGAUUUUACAAAAUCUAGGGAUCUUUUAGGAGCAUAUUGGGAUAAGCUAUCUGUAGAAGAGGCAAAGGAAGUUGUAUCAUUCGAAAAUGUGGCACUGGAGGAAGUUCCAGGUUCUUCAAUUUUAAAAUCUCUGACUACUCUAAUUCAAAAUCAAGGAUUUUAUUCACUUCCUCAGUAUUAUUUGAUGGCUGGUGCUGCCCUUUUGGAUAUCGUUCAAUCUAAACCUUCCAGUUUUCCUAUAUCAUCCCAGGAGUUGUUCAGCAUCCUUGAUGAUGCUAGUGAAAAAACAUGUUUAUGUGGGACAGCUGUGUCAAUGCAAAGAUAUGUAUUUGAUGGAGAGGUUGGAAAAAUUGGUCUUGAACCAAAAAAUUUAGUUGCUUGCACAAGUUUCUUGCUAGAACAGAAAUUGGUGAAGGCAUGGCUUGCUGACAAGGAUGCUGAAGCACUGAGGUGCCAGAAGCAAUUGGUGGAGGAGGAAGAAGCUGCUCAGAAAAGACAAGCUGAGAUUUUGGAGAGGAAACGCCUGAAGAAGAUUAGACAAAAAGAACAGAAAGCUAGGGAACAAAGACACAAAUCUGAGGCAGAAAUUAAAGACAAUAUUGACAUUGCUGUGAAGGCUUUAUCACUGGCAGAAGCAUCUUUAGAUACAUACAAUUUUGAAGAUCAUAAUCCAAAUACAUUUGCAGAUAACUCAGCUUCAGAUGUAUCUUUCCAAUGCCCUGACACCAAUGAAGAAAUAAAUGGAGAUACUCAUUCAGAGCACGACUCUGUCACGGAUCAGAAUAUUGAGGGAGAUUCAGCAAAUGGACCUAAACAUCAACGUCUAGCAGUUGCCAGACAACAGGGGUUGCCAAAAUCACCAAGGCCUGUUGCCACUGGUUUGCAUACAAACCAUAAUUCUUCAAUGUCAAAACCUGAAGUCAUUCAGAAAUAUGGAACCCACUGUGAUCAAAAGGCAUCUACUAUAGCUAAUGGUGGUAAAGUAUGGAGCCGGAAGUCUAAAACAGAAAUAGACAAGGUGGUUUUAAAAUCCAUAAAAGAGAAAGAAUCUGACCAGGUUAAGAAUCAAGAAGUUUUGAUAGGAUCCAUAUCUGUUAAUCUUGGCAAUUGCAGCCAAUCAGAUGGUAAUAUGGUGGCUUCUCAAGAGAACUGCGUGGUUGAAAAUGUGGCCAAGCAGAAUAGUUCUCGAGAUAAGCCAAUGAAAACUGAUUCUAUCCUGAGUGGCAACAAUCGCCCAACAGUUAAGCUUUGGAGGCCAGUUAGCCGGCUUGAAACUAAAGAUCCACUUCCGGUUCAAAGUGGUGGGACAGAAAUUGAUGCAGCUCAUGAAGAUGGUCAAAAUAUGUCAGGUCCAAGUUUUUUAAGGGUGUGUAAUACAGAUGGCGGUGGCAAUCUUGGCUUUGAAAAGAAUUUCCCCCAUGUAGAGGAUACAGAGCAUCCAGAAAGCUUGCGGUUGUUCUGCCGUGCUGCAAAAGCUUUUCUACAAAAAAGAUGGGAUGAAGCUAUUGCAUCCGAGGAUGUGACAGUGCUUGUUUGCUCUGACACAGAAUCUUCUGGUGAGUGCCAGGGGAGGGAGACACAGGAUUUGAAAAUUGAAUCAUGUCAAUCUUCUGACGCGGAGAGAUGCAACAUUGUGGCAAAUGCAGAUAACAGAACCCCCAGGGUUACCAAAUCCAAACCCAGAUUGAAGAAGUCUGAAAAGGGAAUCAAGACAAAGUAUAUUCCCAAACAGAAGACAGUAAUUACCUAAUGUGAAAGAAUAAAUUGGGUUAGUUAGUUAUACAGGUAUUCUAUUAUUUGAGAUAAUUCAAUGAUCUCGAAAUUUUUUAGCCCAACACUUUCUCGAUUUACUGUUCAGCGCAGCUUGUGAAGGUGUCGUCUAUCGUCGUAGAUAUUGGAGCAACCAGGAUGUCACCCUUAAAACAUGUUGAUUAACUUAGGAUUAGAAGGGAGAUUUUUUUGAAAGAUGAAUAUCCAUCCCAUUGUGUAAUAUUGGUAUGGCACUUUUGGAUGCUAGUUGUUGAAAACCCUCAUUGAGUAGAUGAUAACUCUUGGAGUAAAUUUUCAAGUCUCCUCUAAGUUCUUAGUCAAUGUUGAAAUAAGGUAUGAAAUCAAUGACUAUCACCUUUAACUGAUUA
Molecule: non-coding RNA, 2671 nt
Organism: Cajanus cajan (pigeon pea)
Lineage: Eukaryota; Viridiplantae; Streptophyta; Magnoliopsida; Fabales; Fabaceae
Source: RefSeq, a predicted model, not a curated record